GAGCAGGUCGUGAGCUGGAGCCGCGGCCCUGGGGGGGACACGCUGGAGCGAGGCGGGGGCCGCGGCUUCCGGUUCUCUGGGCCGACCGAGGAGCAGUACUGCGGACGGGGAAGCCCGGCCUAAUUUCUUUAGUAGAAGGUUGCCUUCUGUCUCUUUUCACCCCUUACUAGAAAGUGGAAGUUGAAAGUUUUUUUCUCAGAACUUCCAGGCCUAUACCCUGUUUCGAGGAGCAGCCGGAGCUGGGAUGUAAACAUUAAAAAAAGUUCACCCAGCAAUGCGGGCUCAAAAAGCUAUUCUGGGACGUACUGCGGCACCGAAUUCUCUAACAGACCUGGUUGUCUGUGCAAGUCUUUUGGUGAGCUAGGAAGUGCCAUAAUGCCAAAGUCUUAUCUAAUUCACCUGAUCAACUCAUGCUUUAAUAAUCAAUGUGAAGAAAGAGGAAAGAAAACAGAAAACAAAUGUGCAUCUAAGGAUUUGUAGCCAUCUUGAACCCUGAGCGGAGCCAGCCCAAGGACAAAGUCAGUAUCCAGAGAGGAUGGUUAAGUGGAGAGAUGGAAAGAAUCUGGGCCAGAUAAUGACAUCCUUGAUCCAUAGAAUCAACCAGCCCUGAAAUCUGCUCUACUU
This is a long non-coding RNA of Molossus molossus (Pallas's mastiff bat), 624 nucleotides long. RefSeq lists it as uncharacterized. The record is from RefSeq and is a predicted model, not a curated record. Lineage: Eukaryota; Metazoa; Chordata; Mammalia; Chiroptera; Molossidae. The transcript is spliced from 3 exons.